GUCACUUUGCCGGAGUGGUUAACGGGAUCGCCUGCUAUCAGCCAAGCGGUUGGUCUUUGACCGCGAGUGUUCGAAUCGCUCAGGUGACG
Molecule: non-coding RNA, 89 nt
Organism: Pluteus cervinus
Lineage: Eukaryota; Fungi; Basidiomycota; Agaricomycetes; Agaricales; Pluteaceae
Source: the annotation of a GenBank genome assembly